UCGCAUGACAAGGUGACAGCGUGAAGCUGUGAACAGCCGAAGAAGAGCUAUGGAGACGGAGCCCGGUACAGCUGAAAAGAGCAGCCGAGGAGAGCUGCCGAAGAUCCGGAUCGAUUGAAAAGACACCUCGCUAAGGAGGAGAUCAAGGACCACAAUGGUUGCUGGCACGAAACGUGAAACCUGUGUUAUCUUCCUGACAAUGAUUGUUGCAGCUGCUGUGUUUUGGAUGCCUGCACAAAGACUAACAGGUGGAGUACUUUAGCCAACAUGACUGACCAGGACUCCAUAUGCCUAGCUAUGGCAUCUCCCGAAAACCCGUUCCACACAUGCUUGGUUGGCAUCCCCCUUGACUACAGCAGCAUCACACAACUGUUUCAAAAUAGUGGUCGGUGCAAAGGCAUUGCAUCAAACUGUAAUAAUACUAACAUGGCACUUUGGAUUAAUUGCCUCCUGGAAAAAGACAUUGAACCACAGGAAAUGGAAUUGCUGGGAUCUGUGCCCAUGGAUGCUUGUAUCCAGCCGGUUUGUGAAAAGUGUCAGAACAGUAUACAAGAACAUGAAUGGAUAAAAACUGCAAAAUGUUAAUGCUACCCUUGGUGACUAUAGAAAUGAAACUCGUUGGUGCAAUGCCUUGCAGAAGAAUCCAAGGAGUGUUGUUAACAAUGUGGGACAGCGACCCCAAAAACUCCUGUAUGGUGUAUUCUUGAUCUGUGGAGAUAGAGCCUGACCAGGAAUUCCUUCUAAUGCUGUUGGAGGACUGUGUAUUUUGGGACUAUUAACUCUCUUAAUGCCCAAUGUAUCUAUGAUAAUAGAUCACAGAAGAGCAAGACGAGAAAAACACUUUUUGCGUGUAUAUGAGUCAAAAUGUGAUGAUAAUGUAGAUUUUUGGGGAUCAAGGUUAAGGGUUUUAGGAUCUCUUGUAUCUGGUGUUGGCACAGCUAAAAGCUUUAAAUAUUUUAGAAAAUUAGGAUGCUGGCUAGUUGAGCAAACUAACAGAACUUAAAAGGCUUUAAGUGGACUUUUGCUAGAUGUAGAUUCUGUAAGACAUGCUACAUUGCAGAAUAGAGCUGCAAUAGAUUUUUUGUUAUUAGCUCAAGGGCACAGGUGUGAAGAUUUUGAUGGUAUGUGCUGUAUGAACUUGUCAGAUAAUUCUGAGUCAAUUCAUAAAAGCAUACAAUUGUUGAAAGAAGGAGUUCAAAGGUUACAAGUUGAUGAUGGAUGGGAUUGGUUAAAUAAAUCGUUUAGUAGCUGGGGGCUUUCAGGAUGGUUGUUAUCACUAGUGAAAACAGGACUGAUCAUUUUGAUGAUUGUUCUGGUUGUGUUACUAAUGUUGCCAUGCAUGAUUUCUCUGCUGCAAAGGGCCCUGCAGUGGACAAUGAGGGCAGCAUUUUUAGCACAAAUACAAAAAGGGGGAAUUGUGGGAAACUGCAGCGGGUCUGUGGAAUCCUUGACAGAAAAUAUGGGAGUAGAGAUCAGCCUUGAGAUAUUAAGAUUUACCCUUGAGAAGGAUGGGAGUAAAGGAGUAUCUGGAGAGAGGAGAGAUAUACCCGUGAGAGAGAAGGGGAUAGAAGAAUAACAUGGAUGAUAGAAAAAUUAACCAAUGAGAUGUUAGUGCUGUAACUUGUAACCAAUAGUGAAAAGACACAUGAACUGGUAGAAUUGUAUAAAAAUGCACUUGUAGCAAUAAAUGGCGUCUACUACUUUCAUCUUGAAA
Molecule: long non-coding RNA, 1714 nt
Organism: Columba livia (rock pigeon)
Lineage: Eukaryota; Metazoa; Chordata; Aves; Columbiformes; Columbidae
Exons: 2
Source: RefSeq, a predicted model, not a curated record